RNAcentral lists this long non-coding RNA (1033 nucleotides) under Nicotiana benthamiana. RNAcentral's name for it is "long non-coding RNA (NBEN_LNC006119)". Lineage: Eukaryota; Viridiplantae; Streptophyta; Magnoliopsida; Solanales; Solanaceae. The record is from RNAcentral.
AAAAAAAAAGAACACGCAAAACUGCUUCUUCUCCUCCAAGCCUUAAAAAAUCAUCCCCGAUCCCUUCUCUCUGGGCGGAUCUGGAGACACACACAAAGCCAUCGUUGGCUUCUUCAUUAAGCAGCUGAAAAGAGAUUUAAACGGGCUCCUUCUCAAAAACUCAAAGGACUAUCAUCUCCACUUUCAAUAGAGACGAGGGAUUUUGAUUCCCAAUUUCAGCGUAACAACAACUCCUUUUCCGGCGAGCUUCGAGUCGUAGGACGUUGUUGUCCGAUUUAGCUGAAUCGAGGUUUGGUUGCAUGUUGAGGUCUCGUUGUUGUCGCCGGCGCCGAGGUUCCAACUCUUGGUUCAUUGUUCGAUGUAGUUGCUGUCCCUGUUUUUUUGGGUCGCUUGUUCUGUGUUCUAAGUAGCAAUUCUGAAGUUUUACAUUGUUCUUGAGGUAUGGAUUCUAAUUUCCAGCACUGUAAUUAUCACUUAGAUGAUAUAUUGGAAUAUAAAUUGCAGUAAUUGUUUGAAAUGUGUCUGCUUUGAUUUUGAUUUUGUCUAAGUUGGACUGUAACUUUGGAUUUCACAUCUAGACAUAUAACUCUUAUUGCAUCUCAGAUGCUGCUAAAUCUCGCAGGCUUGCAAGUUACAGUGUCCAUGAAGUCAAUAACAUUCACUUUGUUUGCUUAUGACAAUUAAGCCUCAUGCUUAUUGGCCUAAUAGGUAAAAUUGCUUGUGAAGGUCUUUUAUAAUCAAAAGAAAGUCCAAACAAUAAAAAAUUCCUAGUGACAGAGUAUUGAUGCUAACUUCGUGUAAUUGUUUUGACACUACCUGUUAUUAUGAAGUUCAUGAGAAGUUGAUUAAAAUUCCAAUUCUUGUAGAAAUUUGGCUAGGAUUUUAAGUGGUGCCUCUGUUAUUUCAUUAUUUAAUGUUCUAUAUUUAAUGGCUCUUGUCAUAGUAAGGGUUAUUGCUCAGAAUUUUGCAAUACUACAAGGUUUUCUUUUAGUUCAUGUUGACUGUCAAUGCCACAAUAUUGCUUCAGCUUACU